RNAcentral lists this ribosomal RNA (118 nucleotides) under Propithecus coquereli (Coquerel's sifaka). Lineage: Eukaryota; Metazoa; Chordata; Mammalia; Primates; Indriidae. The record is from RNAcentral.
GUCUAUGGCCAUACCACCCUGAAUGUACCUGAUCUCGUCUGAUCUCAGAUGCUAAGCAGGGUCGGGCCUGGUUAGUACUUGUAUGGGAGAUGAGAGAGAGAGAUCUUGAACCAGGAUC